GAUGAACGCUGGCGGCGUGCCUAAUACAUGCAAGUCGAGCGAACAGAUAAGGAGCUUGCUCCUUUGACGUUAGCGGCGGACGGGUGAGUAACACGUGGGUAACCUACCUAUAAGACUGGAAUAACUCCGGGGAACCGGGGCUAAUGCAGGAUAACAUGUUGAACCGCAUGGUUCUACAGUGAAAGGCGGCUUUGCUGUCACUUAUAGAUGGACCCGCGCCGUAUUAGCUAGUUGGUGAGGUAACGGCUCACCAAGGCAACGAUACGUAGCCGACCUGAGAGGGUGAUCGGCCACACUGGAACUGAGACACGGUCCAGACUCCUACGGGAGGCAGCAGUAGGGAAUCUUCCGCAAUGGGCGAAAGCCUGACGGAGCAACGCCGCGUGAGUGAUGAAGGUCUUCGGAUCGUAAAACUCUGUUAUUAGGGAAGAACAAAUGCGUAAGUAACUGUGCGCGUCUUGACGGUACCUAAUCAGAAAGCCACGGCUAACUACGUG
RNAcentral lists this ribosomal RNA (497 nucleotides) under uncultured bacterium. Its description in RNAcentral is "partial 16S ribosomal RNA". It matches the Rfam family "Bacterial small subunit ribosomal RNA", at positions 28 to 507 of the family's 1533-position model. The record is from RNAcentral.